UGAACUUCCGCUUUCACUUUAUCUCAGCAUAACAAGUUAGACGCUCAGGAAUGAUUCAGCGAGAAUCCUCCAGUCAGCCAGCUGGGGUGAUUCUUUAUAAGCACCCUGGUCAACAAGUGGAUAUAAUCUGAAUAUAAAUCCUUCUGCACUCCCUAAAUGUGACCUACACAAUAUCAUGUAGUGUCUUCCAUUUGAGCGAUGGGACUGCUGACUUAAGAGUGGAACCCUGUGUUUUCAUCUAUUUGGUGAUAAAGUUACCUUUCUAUACACCUUACCAGGCAGAAUAAACAAUCAGCGCAGUAUGAAGAACUUGAAAUACCCACAUGAGCCAGACCCUGUUCCCUCAUCCAUUGCUUUGAUAGACCCACUUAUCUGAUGAUGAAUGAAAAAAAUGUGUCCUAGUGUCUGUAAUAAACUUUCCAGAUUUCAUCAACUCUUCAUUGAUGGAACUCUUGAAGACAGAAUACAGAAGAUGGCCAUGACCAUCUAGUCCACCAAGAAACCCCCCAUAAUUUCCGGUUGUAUGUAGAUAUACUGCAGAAGACCUCUGAUGUGAAUGAAAUUUAGUUUUGUAAGAGUGGAGCAUGGAGUACAUCCUUUGGAAAUCUUGAAGGAAGCUAACAAUACUCCUCCUUAUCUGCCUCAGGACCUUCUCCAGAGAAGAUGAAAAUGAAAAAAUAGAAUUGACAAUUAGUUCUGACAAGGAAAAAAACACUGAAACAUAAUCUCCAGUAGGUUCCUCCAUAUCGGGAGAUGUGCUGCAUUACCUAGACAAAAAUCCAUUAAGCUAUUACUAACAUCAUGUUUAGAAUAGAAGAGGAAAUAGGGAUGAGGCAGCAAUGGAGUUGGGCACUGGCUAAAGUCGCUACCAUCCUCUACAAGUCAUGUUCAUCUAUGGUUGAUCUCUACCCCCUUCCAUAUGUGGGACUGGAAUUCACAGUUACCCUUUCACUGUGUUAAACAUAAUAUUAUCUUUCUACGCCCUGCAGUAUACCUUAAGUCAUGACGCUAAUUAUCUUCAACCCUCAUGGCCAACUCGGCAUAUAUAUGGCUAUUUCUUUUACAUUUUUUGUAUUCUAAUGCAUGUUCAAAUUUGUAAAUUAAA
Molecule: long non-coding RNA, 1105 nt
Organism: Magallana angulata
Lineage: Eukaryota; Metazoa; Mollusca; Bivalvia; Ostreida; Ostreidae
Exons: 7
Source: RefSeq, a predicted model, not a curated record